AGAGUUUGAUCAUGGCUCAGGAUGAACGCUAGCGGCAGGCUUAAUACAUGCAAGUCGUGGGGCAGCGCGGGUAGCAAUACCUGGCGGCGACCGGCAAACGGGUGCGGAACACGUACGCAACCUUCCUUUAAGCGGGGAAUAGCCCAGGGAAACUUGGAUUAAUACCCCAUAGAAAUGCAGAGUGGCAUCACUUGGCAUUU
This 200-nucleotide ribosomal RNA is filed under the name uncultured bacterium. Its description in RNAcentral is "partial 16S ribosomal RNA". It matches the Rfam family "Bacterial small subunit ribosomal RNA", at positions 8 to 202 of the family's 1533-position model. The record is from RNAcentral.